Long non-coding RNA from Mastomys coucha (southern multimammate mouse), 603 nucleotides. RefSeq lists it as uncharacterized. The transcript is spliced from 4 exons. Lineage: Eukaryota; Metazoa; Chordata; Mammalia; Rodentia; Muridae. The record is from RefSeq and is a predicted model, not a curated record.
UGGCCAGCCUCUACUUUUCUACUCUCUCCAUCUCUCUGCCUUUGUCUGCCUCUACUACCCUCUUAGCUCCUCUUCCCAGACACUUCUCCCUGCAAAGGUAUUUAACCUCAGGCCCUCCCUGAGAAAGUCGGAAUUGAAAAUAUCAGGAGAACCACCCACUGGAGAUGAACGGAGAAGCAACUAAAACCUGCACCUCCCUUGCAAGACUCCCCUCUCCUCUGGUUUCCAUGACACCACCCUCUCCUGCUGCCUCCUGCUUCCUUGUUUCUCCUUCUUGUUCAAGACAAAGUCAUCGUUGUCUAUGGGAGUCAGUUCCAACAAUAGAGAGACUGAAAUGAGAGAGGUAACCUGCCACUCAAGAGGCGGAGCCAGUCCUUGGAAAGAGAUUUGUUUUCCUGGGAAUCAGAUGGACAGUGACAUCACACUUCAUGGUUUAGAAAGCAUGUUCACAUAUCAACCACAUUUAGUUUUGAAUUUAGAAAUGAUUAACAACCACAUUUACUUUUGACAUUUAAUCUUAUGAGAUCAUAUUAUUAUCAUAUUAUCGUAUCUACAUAUAAGGAAAGUGAAGCUUUUAAGAUUAAUUGACAUCAUUAAAUCUUU